GAGGGUAUAGCUCAUUGGUAGAGUGUAUGCUUAACAUGCAUGAAUUGCUGGGUUCAAUUCCCAGUACCUCUA
This 72-nucleotide transfer RNA is filed under the name Camelus bactrianus (Bactrian camel). It matches the Rfam family "tRNA". From Rfam's summary of the family: Transfer RNA (tRNA) molecules are approximately 80 nucleotides in length. Lineage: Eukaryota; Metazoa; Chordata; Mammalia; Artiodactyla; Camelidae. The record is from Rfam by way of RNAcentral. RNAcentral also lists the same sequence under 2 other names.